RNAcentral lists this ribosomal RNA (253 nucleotides) under uncultured bacterium. Its description in RNAcentral is "partial 16S ribosomal RNA". It matches the Rfam family "Bacterial small subunit ribosomal RNA", at positions 524 to 776 of the family's 1533-position model. The record is from RNAcentral.
UACGAAGGGGGCGAGCGUUGUUCGGAUUUACUGGGCGUAAAGAGUGUGUAGGCGGUGCUCUAAGUUCGGUGUGAAAUCUCCUGGCUCAACUGGGAGGGUGCGCCGGAAACUGGAGUGCUUGAGCGUGGGAGAGGAAAGCGGAAUUCCUGGUGUAGCGGUGAAAUGCGUAGAUAUCAGGAGGAACACCUGUGGUGUAGACGGCUUUCUGGACCAUAGCUGACGCUGAGACACGAAAGCGUGGGUAGCAAACAGG